CCUACGGGGAGCAGCAGUGAGGAAUAUUGGUCAAUGGACGGAAGUCUGAACCAGCCAUGCCGCGUGCAGGAAGACGGCUCUAUGAGUUGUAAACUGCUUUUGUACAAGGGUAAACCUGAAUACGUGUAUUCAGCUGAAAGUACUGUAAGAAUAAGGAUCGGCUAACUCCGUGCCAGCAGCCGCGGUAAUACGGAGGAUCCAAGCGUUAUCCGGAUUUAUUGGGUUUAAAGGGUGCGUAGGCGGAUUGAUAAGUUAGAGGGGAAAUGUCCGAGCUUAACUCGGGAACUGCCUCUAAUACUGGUGAUCUAGAGAGUAGAUGCGGUAGGCGGAAUGUAUGGUGUAGCGGUGAAAUGCUUAGAGAUCAUACAGAACACCGAUUGCGAAGGCAGCUUACCAAUCUAUAUCUGACGUUGAGGCACGAAAGCGUGGGGAGCAAACAGGAUUAGAUACCCUGGUAGUC
Molecule: ribosomal RNA, 460 nt
Filed under: uncultured bacterium
Lineage: Bacteria
Description: partial 16S ribosomal RNA
Rfam family: Bacterial small subunit ribosomal RNA
Source: RNAcentral